GAUGAAGAACGCAGCGAAAUGCGAUACUUGGUGUGAAUUGCAGAAUCCCGUGAACCAUCGAGUUUUUGAACGCAAGUUGCGCCCGAAGCCUUUUGGCCGAGGGCACGUCUGCCUGGGCGUCACGCAUCGCGUCGCCCCCCCACAAUUCUCCGUAAAGGGAACUUGUGUUUUGGGGGCGGAUAUUGGUCUCCCGUGCUCAUGGCGUGGUUGGCCGAAAUAGGAGUCCUUUCGAUGGACGCACGAACUAGUGGUGGUCGUAAAAACCCUCGUCUUUUGUUUCGUGCUGUUGCUCGCAAGGUAAACUCUUUAAAAACCCCAAUGUGUCGUCUCUUGACGACGCUUCGACCGCGACCCCAGGUCAGGCGGGACUACCCGCUGAGUUUAAGCAUAUCAAUAAGCGGAGGA
Molecule: unclassified non-coding RNA, 405 nt
Filed under: soil metagenome
Description: partial contains 5.8S ribosomal RNA, internal transcribed spacer 2, and large subunit ribosomal RNA
Rfam family: 5.8S ribosomal RNA (bases 1-122)
Source: RNAcentral